This 840-nucleotide ribosomal RNA is filed under the name uncultured marine bacterium. RNAcentral's name for it is "bacterial SSU rRNA". It matches the Rfam family "Bacterial small subunit ribosomal RNA", at positions 44 to 933 of the family's 1533-position model. The record is from RNAcentral.
GCGCCUACACAUGCAAGUCGAACGCAGUAGCAAUACUGAGUGGCAAACGGGUGAGUAUAAUGUGGGAAUCUGCCUUUUGGUUUGGAAUAACACGGGGAAACUUGUGCUAAUACCGAAUAAGCCCUUACGGGGAAAGUUUUAACGCCGAAAGAUGAGCCUGCACUUGAUUAGCUAGUUGGUAAGGUAAAAGCUUACCAAGGCAACGAUCAAUAGCUGUUCUUAGAGGAAGACCAGCCACAUUGGGACUGAGACACGGCCCAGACUCCUACGGGAGGCAGCAGUGGGGAAUCUUGCACAAUGGGGGAAACCCUGAUGCAGCGAUGCCGCGUGAGUGAAGAAGGCCCUUGGGUUGUAAAACUCUUUCGUCGGGGAAGAAAAUGACUGUACCCGAAUAAGAAGGUCCGGCUAACUUCGUGCCAGCAGCCGCGGUAAUACGAAGGGACCUAGCGUAGUUCGGAAUUACUGGGCUUAAAGAGCUCGUAGGUGGUUAAAAUAGUUGAUGGUGAAAUCCCAAGGCUCAACCUUGGAACUGCCAUCAAAACUUUUUAGCUAGAGUGUGAUAGAGGUAAGUGGAAUUUCUAGUGUAGAGGUGAAAUUCGUAGAUAUUAGAAAGAACACCAAAUGCGAAGGCAACUUACUGGGUCACUACUGACACUGAGGAGCGAAAGCAUGGGUAGCGAAGAGGAUUAGAUACCCUCGUAGUCCAUGCCGUAAACGAUGUGUGCUAGACGUUGGAAAUAUAUUUUUCAGUGUCGCAGCGAAAGCAUUAAGCACACCGCCUGGGGAGUACGACCGCAAGGUUAAAACUCAAAUGAAUUGACGGGGACCCGCACAAGCAGU